Phascolarctos cinereus (koala) is the source of this 135-nucleotide small nucleolar RNA. NCBI's taxonomy places the organism in Eukaryota, Metazoa, Chordata, Mammalia, Diprotodontia, Phascolarctidae. The record is from Ensembl.
UUGGCCCUGAAUCAAGACCAACAGUUUAUUGGAAUUGUUGGUUUCAAACAGGAGCCUAAAGAAAUGUCACCCUACUGUCUUCUGGCCGUUUCAGAACAUUAUAGAGAAUGGUCAGUUCAUUAGGAAGAAACACUU